GGAUGGUUACAAGAUACAGAGGUUUAACUAAAUAUCCAACUCUGGUUUCUCUCCCUGCUCUACGUGGAAUCCGGGCCCCUGUGGACACUGACCACCAUGCCGGCUCUGACUUGGCUCUCCCACCACAGGCCGUCGCGCCCUGGAGACAGUGGAAUUUUCCACGGCUGUCGAGUUGACAGAAAGCACUGCAUCCCCUGCGACCAACCCCUCGGAGAAAGGGGAGCUGAGGGAUAAAAGUGCCACACAGAAGGGGAGGGUCCAGAGCCCAGCACUACCUAGGAUCUGAGGGCCCCAGGGAGAAGAGCCAGAAGCUUCAGGACCCAGUAAGGCCCUGGCACCACUGGAAAUGAAAAUCUGGCAACUUUGUGCAUUCUUUUAAUGCAGUAAUCAAUAAAGUCUAA
Tachyglossus aculeatus (Australian echidna) is the source of this 401-nucleotide long non-coding RNA. RefSeq lists it as uncharacterized. The record is from RefSeq and is a predicted model, not a curated record. Lineage: Eukaryota; Metazoa; Chordata; Mammalia; Monotremata; Tachyglossidae. The transcript is spliced from 4 exons.